GGGUGGACAAAUAAAACUGAACUGUACUGUACUGUUAAAAUCUAUACUAAACUAAAAACUAAUUUGUCUAAACUGAAUUGAACUAUGUAAAACAGUUCAGAAUUUGUUUUAUUAAACUGGACCGAAUUGAACUAUACUAAAUUAUACUAAACUACAAUAUAAACUGAACUAAACUACUAACUAUACUAAUUUUAAACUGAAUUGUACUAGUUUUUAAACUGAAUAGUAUAACAANACAUAUUCUUUUUAAUUGAAAUUUAUUUUAAUAUUUAUUUGUUUUCUUCAUAAGUGUUUUACAAAUUAAUUUUUUAAUAUUAUUAUUUUCUAUUGUAUUUAUAUUUCUAUAAUAAU
RNAcentral lists this long non-coding RNA (351 nucleotides) under Vigna radiata. RNAcentral describes it as "long non-coding RNA (VRAD_LNC010652)". Lineage: Eukaryota; Viridiplantae; Streptophyta; Magnoliopsida; Fabales; Fabaceae. The record is from RNAcentral.